Molecule: ribosomal RNA, 253 nt
Filed under: uncultured bacterium
Lineage: Bacteria
Description: partial 16S ribosomal RNA
Rfam family: Bacterial small subunit ribosomal RNA
Source: RNAcentral
UACGUAGGGAGCAAGCGUUGUCCGGAAUCAUUGGGCGUAAAGCGCGCGUAGGUGGCCUCAUAAGUCCGUUGUGAAAGUCAAAGGCUCAACCUUUGAAAGCCGAUGGAUACUGUGAGACUAGAGUACGGAAGAGGCGAGUGGAAUUCCUGGUGUAGCGGUGGAAUGCGCAGAUAUCAGGAGGAACACCGGUGGCGAAGGCGGGUCUCUGGGCCGAUACUGACGCUGAGGAGCGAAAGCGUGGGGAGCGAACAGG